GGCUCUUCGUUCUAUGAAGAUGAGGAGUCGGACCUGCCCAGUGAGCAGUAAGCUUUAACGGCCGCGGUACCCUGACCGUGCAAAGGUAGCAUAAUCAUUUGCCUUUUAAUUGAAGGCUGGUAUGAAUGGUUUGACGAAAACGGAGCUGUCUCUUAUCUACUAUCUAAAAAUUAAUUUUGAUGUGAAGAAGCAUUAAUAAUUCUAAAAGACAAGAAGACCCUGUUGAGCUUUAAUAAGAGAAAAAAAUAAGAAUAUGAAUCAAAAUAAUAUUUUUUUAGUAUUAUUUUAGUUGGGGCGACUGAGGAACAAAAGAGCUUCCUUUGAUUUUUAUAAUAUAUUUAUUUUGAUCCAGAAAAAUUCUGAUUAAAAGAAUUAGUUACCACAGGGAUAACAGCGUAAUCCUUUUUUAGAGUUCUUAUCGAAAAAAGGGCUUCCGACCUCGAUGUUGGAUUAAGAUUUCCAGUUGGUGCAGAAGCUUCUUUUGUCCGACUCC
RNAcentral lists this ribosomal RNA (493 nucleotides) under Peltospira smaragdina. Its description in RNAcentral is "partial 16S ribosomal RNA". It matches the Rfam family "Bacterial large subunit ribosomal RNA", at positions 1817 to 2580 of the family's 2925-position model. The record is from RNAcentral. Lineage: Eukaryota; Metazoa; Mollusca; Gastropoda; Neomphalida; Peltospiridae.